Molecule: transfer RNA, 71 nt
Filed under: Marmota monax (woodchuck)
Lineage: Eukaryota; Metazoa; Chordata; Mammalia; Rodentia; Sciuridae
Description: tRNA.Ala
Rfam family: tRNA
About the family: Transfer RNA (tRNA) molecules are approximately 80 nucleotides in length. Their secondary structure includes four short double-helical elements and three loops (D, anti-codon, and T loops). Further hydrogen bonds mediate the characteristic L-shaped molecular structure. tRNAs have two regions of fundamental functional importance: the anti-codon, which is responsible for specific mRNA codon recognition, and the 3' end, to which the tRNAs corresponding amino acid is attached (by aminoacyl-tRNA synthetases). tRNAs cope with the degeneracy of the genetic code in two manners: having more than one tRNA (with a specific anti-codon) for a particular amino acid; and 'wobble' base-pairing, i.e. permitting non-standard base-pairing at the 3rd anti-codon position.
Source: RNAcentral
GGGGUUGUGGUUUAGUGGUAGAACGCUUGCCUUGCACACAUGAGGCACUGGGUUUGAUCCUCAGCACCACA